This 407-nucleotide ribosomal RNA is filed under the name uncultured prokaryote. RNAcentral's name for it is "bacterial SSU rRNA". It matches the Rfam family "Bacterial small subunit ribosomal RNA", at positions 355 to 776 of the family's 1533-position model. The record is from RNAcentral.
UGGGGAAUAUUGGGCAAUGGGCGAAAGCCUGACCCAGCAACGCCGCGUGAAGGAAGAAGGUUUUCGGAUUGUAAACUUCUGUCCUCAGGGAAGAAGGAAGUGACGGUACCUGAGGAGGAAGCCCCGGCGAACUACGUGCCAGCAGCCGCGGUAAUACGCAGGUGGCAAGCGUUGUCCGGAUUUACUGGGCGUAAAGGGAGCGUAGGCGGACUUUUAAGUGAGAUGUGAAAUACCCGGGCUCAACCGGGGUGCUGCAUUUCAAACUGGAAGUCUAGAGUGCAGGAGAGGAGAGUGGAAUUCCUGGUGUAGCGGUGAAAUGCGUAGAGAUUAGGAAGAACACCAGUGGCGAAGGCGACUCUCUGGACUGUAACUGACGCUGAGGCUCGAAAGCGUGGGGAGCAAACAGG